GUGGGGAAUCUUGCGCAAUGGGCGAAAGCCUGACGCAGCCAUGCCGCGUGAAUGAUGAAGGUCUUAGGAUUGUAAAAUUCUUUCACCGGGGACGAUAAUGACGGUACCCGGAGAAGAAGCCCCGGCUAACUUCGUGCCAGCAGCCGCGGUAAUACGAAGGGGGCUAGCGUUGCUCGGAAUUACUGGGCGUAAAGGGCGCGUAGUCGGACAGCUUAGUCAGAGGUGAAAGCCCAGGGCUCAACCUUGGAAUUGCCUUUGAUACUGGCUGUCUUGAGUUUGGGAGAGGUGAGUGGAACUCCGAGUGUAGAGGUGAAAUUCGUAGAUAUUCGGAAGAACACCAGUGGCGAAGGCGACUCACUGGCCCAAUACUGACGCUGAGGCGCGAAAGCGUGGGGAGCAAACAGGAUUAGAUACCCGUGUAGUCC
This 425-nucleotide ribosomal RNA is filed under the name uncultured bacterium. Its description in RNAcentral is "partial 16S ribosomal RNA". It matches the Rfam family "Bacterial small subunit ribosomal RNA", at positions 354 to 796 of the family's 1533-position model. The record is from RNAcentral.